This is a long non-coding RNA of Papilio xuthus (Asian swallowtail), 475 nucleotides long. RefSeq lists it as uncharacterized. The record is from RefSeq and is a predicted model, not a curated record. NCBI's taxonomy places the organism in Eukaryota, Metazoa, Arthropoda, Insecta, Lepidoptera, Papilionidae. The transcript has 3 exons.
CCACGGAGCGGACGUAUUGACGUUAGUUCUCGCCCUGUCACAACAUAACCACAACAGACUGAGGGCGUGCGUUCGCUUUUGGCGGGUAUUCGCACGAAGGCGAGCGAAGCGCCGCCGAGCACGAACCCCCGUGCGCGUACACUCGGACCAUUUGGAUUGCAGUGUUUGGAUGUUCGGAUUGUGGUGUUCGCUGCGGUUUUUUUAAGAAUCCGACGGAUUUCUCGUCUACGGAUUUAAAAGUUAAUUAUUGAAGAAAAUGUUUGUACGUGGUGUGGAUUAAUUUAUUAAUUGAAUUGUAUAUUUGUGUUCGUGUAAAGUUGUUUGUUUUGUGAUAUUUUAACGAUUGAAUUGAGUGGUGAUAAGUGUUGGGACCUAGCUGGUAUGCUUAAGUGCUAUGUGACGCAAGGCUUGGUGACCGCCUUGGAAGGAGGCGUUGGGUACGACAAGUGGGAGCGGGGCGGGGCGGGCGGCGGCG